UGGGGAAUAUUGCACAAUGGGCGCAAGCCUGAUGCAGCCAUGCCGCGUGUAUGAAGAAGGCCUUCGGGUUGUAAAGUACUUUCAGCGGGGAGGAAGGGAGUAAAGUUAAUACCUUUGCUCAUUGACGUUACCCGCAGAAGAAGCACCGGCUAACUCCGUGCCAGCAGCCGCGGUAAUACGGAGGGUGCAAGCGUUAAUCGGAAUUACUGGGCGUAAAGCGCACGCAGGCGGUUUGUUAAGUCAGAUGUGAAAUCCCCGGGCUCAACCUGGGAACUGCGUCGGAUACUGGCAAGCUUGAGUCUCGUAGAGGGGGGUAGAAUUCCAGGUGUAGCGGUGAAAUGCGUAGAGAUCUGGAGGAAUACCGGUGGCGAAGGCGACUUACUGGGCUCAUUCUGACGCUGAGGAACGAAAGCGUGGGUAGCAAACAGG
RNAcentral lists this ribosomal RNA (429 nucleotides) under Fusobacteriota bacterium. RNAcentral describes it as "Fusobacteria bacterium partial 16S ribosomal RNA". It matches the Rfam family "Bacterial small subunit ribosomal RNA", at positions 355 to 776 of the family's 1533-position model. The record is from RNAcentral. Lineage: Bacteria; Fusobacteriati; Fusobacteriota.